GACGAACGCUGGCGGCGUACUUAACGCAUGCAAGUCGAACGGUGAAGCGCCUUCCUUUUUGGUGGGUGGGGAUGAGUGGCGAACGGGGGAGUAACACGUGAGUAACCUGCCCCCUUCUUCUGGAUAACCGCAUGAAAGUGUGGCUAAUACGGGAUAUUCUGGGUCUGUCGCAUGACGGGUCUGGGAAAGUUAUUGUUUCGGUGGGGGAUGGGCUCGCGGCCUAUCAGCUUGUUGGUGGGGUGAUGGCCUACCAAGGCGGUGACGGGUAGCCGGCCUGAGAGGGUGGACGGUCACACUGGGACUGAGACACGGCCCAGACUCCUACGGGAGGCAGCAGGGGGGAAUAGUGCACAAUGGGCGCAAGCCUGAUGCAGCGACGCCGCGUGAGGGAUGGAGGCCUUCGGGUUGUGAACCUCUUUCGCCAGUGAAGCAGGCCUGCCUCGUUUGUGGGUGGGUUGACGGUAGCUGGAUAAGAAGCGCCGGCUAACUACGUG
This 494-nucleotide ribosomal RNA is filed under the name uncultured bacterium. RNAcentral's name for it is "partial 16S ribosomal RNA". It matches the Rfam family "Bacterial small subunit ribosomal RNA", at positions 28 to 507 of the family's 1533-position model. The record is from RNAcentral.